RNAcentral lists this ribosomal RNA (497 nucleotides) under uncultured bacterium. RNAcentral's name for it is "partial 16S ribosomal RNA". It matches the Rfam family "Bacterial small subunit ribosomal RNA", at positions 28 to 507 of the family's 1533-position model. The record is from RNAcentral.
GACGAACGCUGGCGGCGUGCCUAAUACAUGCAAGUUGAGCGAUGAAGAUUGGUGCUUGCACCAAUUUGAAGAGCAGCGAACGGGUGAGUAACGCGUGGGGAAUCUGCCUUUGAGCGGGGGACAACAUUUGGAAACGAAUGCUAAUACCGCAUAAAAACUUAAAAAAAAGGUUUAAGUUUUAAAAGAUGCAAUGGCAUACCCAAAGAAGAAUCCCGGGUGGUAUUAGCUAGUGGGUGAGGUAAAGGCUCACCAAGGGGAGGAUACAUAGCCGACCUGAGAGGGUGAUCGGCCACAUUGGGACUGAGACACGGCCCAAACUCCUACGGGAGGCAGCAGUAGGGAAUCUUCGGCAAUGGACGAAAGUCUGACCGAGCAACGCCGCGUGAGUGAAGAAGGUUUUCGGAUCGUAAAACUCUGUUGGUAGAGAAGAACGUUGGUGAGAGUGGAAAGCUCAUCAAGUGACGGUAACUACCCAGAAAGGGACGGCUAACUACGUG